GAGGGUAGAGCUCAGUGGUAGAGCGCAUGCCUAGCAUGCAUGAAGUCCUGGGUUCAAUCCCCAGUACUUCCA
Molecule: transfer RNA, 72 nt
Filed under: Camelus bactrianus (Bactrian camel)
Lineage: Eukaryota; Metazoa; Chordata; Mammalia; Artiodactyla; Camelidae
Also listed under: 2 other names
Rfam family: tRNA
About the family: Transfer RNA (tRNA) molecules are approximately 80 nucleotides in length. Their secondary structure includes four short double-helical elements and three loops (D, anti-codon, and T loops). Further hydrogen bonds mediate the characteristic L-shaped molecular structure. tRNAs have two regions of fundamental functional importance: the anti-codon, which is responsible for specific mRNA codon recognition, and the 3' end, to which the tRNAs corresponding amino acid is attached (by aminoacyl-tRNA synthetases). tRNAs cope with the degeneracy of the genetic code in two manners: having more than one tRNA (with a specific anti-codon) for a particular amino acid; and 'wobble' base-pairing, i.e. permitting non-standard base-pairing at the 3rd anti-codon position.
Source: Rfam by way of RNAcentral